Gouania willdenowi (blunt-snouted clingfish) is the source of this 1864-nucleotide long non-coding RNA. Ensembl lists it as uncharacterized. The record is from Ensembl. NCBI's taxonomy places the organism in Eukaryota, Metazoa, Chordata, Actinopteri, Blenniiformes, Gobiesocidae.
GGAAGCACGUGAACGCUCAACAGUGUCAGAUCCGGGAACGUCCUUCUUCGUGGGCGUAACUAGCUCCGCCCACACUCAUUUCAAUGUUGUAAGGCUUUAUAAAAAAUUAAAAAAAAAUCUGUUUUAAAUAGUGUACAAACAGAUUUAUGCUCAUGUUAGCCUGGUGGAAAUGUAACUGAUCUUUAAAGACGUGCUGUGAGCUUUAUCGGGUUUGUUGGUUGGAACCAAUGCGGAUGAUGUUACUGCUGAUUCUGUUGCUUCCCUGUGUUUGUAACAGCUAUUCAUACCGGUAUGAGUUUGAAUAUGGAAGAACAUUCAGGAUCUAUCUACAAGAAGAUGCUCACACUGUUGAGUUCAGACCCUCAGACGGCUCUGAUGAGCAGAUCCUGUGGUACCAUGACAACCCUUUGGAAACUAAGGUCAGCGGGUGGAGGGCGACAGACUACAGCCUCACAAAAAAUUUGACGCAGAAAGACAGCGGGCAGUACGUAGUGAGAGAUGCUCAUACGAAGAGGCUACACACCGACAAUAUCAAAGUUAUUGCUAAAAGUGAAAACUUUGAAGUCAAGAGCUUUCAUCCCUUUGCCUUCACGGUCAAUCUGGAGCCAUCAUCCUGCAAUAUUUACUUUACUCCUGAAAGCAAAGACGAAGUUCCAAUAGUUCGCCAGGGCAGAGCCUUGUGGGAAUUCUACAAUUGUGGUUGUCAGGGUUUGAAUCUUUUAAAGCCGUGUGGAAUAGAAAAUGACAACCUACUACCAUCAUGCAGCGGACGCUUUACGGUCAAAGAUAAUGACAAGCAAACAGCCAUGGUGGUGACGCUGACGGUUGAAUCAUUCGACACUGUCCCUGUAUACCUGGUCAUCAUCGCGUUCGUUGUGGUCGUAGUUCUCGUCUGCUGUUGUGUGGUUCGCUGCAGCUUUGCAAGGAUGAAUAAGGGACAGAAUCAAUCCCAGUCAGCGGCGGCUCCUCAACCUGCCGUCGACUGCCAAGAGUACGAGCGUGAGCCGGCGAGACCAACACGAGAGCAACGAAACGAACCACCGAGGAAUCAUCGUGUACCUCAUCCUCUUACACAUGGUCCUCUCCCAUUGGAUGCUCCACCUUCUUAUUCUGAGAUAAUAUCACAGUCUCCUCCUCCUCCAUUCGUGUCUGAACCCGGGCUUCGAUAUGAAGUCAGCGGCACCAACUUUGACUUCACUGCUUCGGCACCAAAAUACAGUGACAUUUAUACCUCUGACAAACUCAACUUCCUUUAAAAGCUUUUUUUUCUUCUGAACAGAGCGCACCAGCUCUGAUGAAUGUCAGCGACGGGAACAAAUUGGACUAAAUGAACAAUCAAAAAAGCAAACUGUGUCUGGAUGUAACGUCUCAUUUAACAAGCUUUCCAAAUAUAUAGUUUGUUGCUUAAAAGAGAAAGAUGUGAGAGUGUUUUGACUAAAUGUUGCUGCUUCAUAGUCAUGUUUAUUACUGUCAUUGACUGCAAACAUAGAAAAGGAUGAAUUAUAAAUACUGAUACAUCAAAGAAGUAAAGUCUUGUUUUCAUCACAACAUAAAGAUUACAAUUUAAAAGCCAUAGGUCAGAAAGGAAAGUGUCUAUAAAAGCUUUCCAAAUAACAAAACAUAACAUAAAACCUAAUCUGGGAAUAUUUAUCUUUGUCUUGAAACUGCCUUUGUGGUGUGUGUGUGUCUGUUACAAAUAUAUACAUAUAUACAUAUUCUAAUGUGUGCUCCUAAAACUGAUUCUACUGCAUCUCUCAGGUGUCAUUGUCAUUUGUGCUGCCCAACACUAACUACACUGUGCUGUAUAUUGUUAAUAUGUUACCAUCAUCACCAGGAAUAAAACUAGAUUUGUGCUUUAGAAACA